This 434-nucleotide ribosomal RNA is filed under the name uncultured bacterium. Its description in RNAcentral is "partial 16S ribosomal RNA". It matches the Rfam family "Bacterial small subunit ribosomal RNA", at positions 28 to 507 of the family's 1533-position model. The record is from RNAcentral.
GACGAACGCUGGCGGCGUGCCUAACACAUGCAAGUCGAACGAACAGUCCGGGGUUAGUGGCGGACGGUGGGGUAACAGGUUGGAACAUGCGUUUAGGUUCGGAAUAACUCAGGGAAACUUGUGCGAAUACCGGGUUUGCACUGCGGAGGAAAGCUUUAUCGCCUUUGGGGGGGGGCGCGUCUGAUUAGCUAGUUGGUUGAGGUAGUGUCACACCCAGGCGGCGAGCAGUAGCUGGUAUGAGAGGAUGAUCAGCCAGAUUGGGAAUGAGACACGGCCCAAACUGGUAGGGGCGGCAGCAGUGGGUGAUCUAGUGGAAGGAGCGAAAGCCUGCCGCAGCCAUGCCGGGUGAAUGAUGAUGGUCUUAGGAUUCUAAUAUUAUUUCAGCGGAGACGAUAGUGACGGUACCUGCAGAAGAAGCCCCGGCUAACUACGUG